CCUCGGCUUGAGACACGGAAUACUACACAAAUACAUAGUAAAGCAUGAAACAAGAUGGCAUAACAUAAAUAUGACACCCACAAGUAAUAGAAAACGGAGAAAAGUAAACAGAUUCGUAAUAAAACAUGAAACAAGGUAUCAUAACAAGAAUAAUACCCCACCAAGUAAUUCCCUACAUUAGCAACCCAAACUGACCCUAACUUUCUGCCCUAAUUCGCAUCUUCCAGAUCUUCCUAUCUAGGGUCAUGUCCUCAGUGAGUUGUAACUGCUCCAUGUCCCGCCUAAUCACCUCUCUCCAGUACUUCUCCCUACACUAGCGACCCAAACUGGCCCUAGCCUUCUGCCCUAAUUCGCGUCCUCCAGAUCUUCCUAUCUAGAGUCAUGUCCUCAGUGAGCUGUAACUGCUCCAUGUCCCACCUAAUCACCUCUCCCCAGUACUACUUCUUCGGCCUACCCCUACCUCGCCAUCCAAAGCUAGCCUCUCACACCUACGAACCGGGGCAUCCAUGCCCCUCCUCAUCACGUGUCUGAACCAUCUCAAUCGAACUUCCCGCAUCUUAUUCUCCACUGG
RNAcentral lists this long non-coding RNA (571 nucleotides) under Capsicum annuum. RNAcentral's name for it is "long non-coding RNA (CANN_LNC015986)". Lineage: Eukaryota; Viridiplantae; Streptophyta; Magnoliopsida; Solanales; Solanaceae. The record is from RNAcentral.